Molecule: ribosomal RNA, 498 nt
Filed under: uncultured bacterium
Lineage: Bacteria
Description: partial 16S ribosomal RNA
Rfam family: Bacterial small subunit ribosomal RNA
Source: RNAcentral
GAUGAACGCUGGCGGCGUGCCUAAUACAUGCCAGUCGAGCGAACGGACGAGAAGCUUGCUUCUCUGAUGUUAGCGGCGGACGGGUGAGUAACACGUGGAUAACCUACCUAUAAGACUGGGAUAACUUCGGGAAACCGGAGCUAAUACCGGAUAACAUUUUGAACCGCAUGGUUCAAAAGUGAAAGACGGUCUUGCUGUCACUUAUAGAUGGAUCCGCGCUGCAUUAGCUAGUUGGUAAGGUAACGGCUUACCAAGGCAACGAUGCAUAGCCGACCUGAGAGGGUGAUCGGCCACACUGGAACUGAGACACGGUCCAGACUCCUACGGGAGGCAGCAGUAGGGAAUCUUCCGCAAUGGGCGAAAGCCUGACGGAGCAACGCCGCGUGAGUGAUGAAGGUCUUCGGAUCGUAAAACUCUGUUAUUUAGGGAAGAACAUAUGUGUAAGUAACUGUGCACAUCUUGACGGUACCUAAUCAGAAAGCCACGGCUAACUACGUG